CUGCAACCCGCCCUGCAUGAAGUUGGAAUUGCUAGUAAUCGCGGAUCAGCAUGCCGCGGUGAAUACGUUCCCUGGCCUUGUACACACCGCCCGUCACACCAUGGGAGCCGGUAAUACCCGAAGUCAGUAGCCUAACCGCAAGGGGGGCGCUGCCGAAGGUAGGAUUGGCGACUGGGGUGAAGUCGUAACAAGGUAGC
This 197-nucleotide ribosomal RNA is filed under the name uncultured bacterium. RNAcentral's name for it is "partial 16S ribosomal RNA". It matches the Rfam family "Bacterial small subunit ribosomal RNA", at positions 1305 to 1500 of the family's 1533-position model. The record is from RNAcentral.